Molecule: long non-coding RNA, 1088 nt
Filed under: Sarcophilus harrisii (Tasmanian devil)
Lineage: Eukaryota; Metazoa; Chordata; Mammalia; Dasyuromorphia; Dasyuridae
Description: lncRNA (ENSSHAG00000026823.1)
Source: RNAcentral
UGUGGGGAUAUGGUCAUUAAUCUCUUCAUUGUCUUCCUCCUUAAUAUCAUGGCUAAUUUGAGGAGGAGUGGAAGGAGCCAAGGGUUUUUUCUUUCUUCUAGGGAUUCUUAGUGCUAACUCCAAGGGCCACCAAUAUAUUCUUUCGGGGGUUGAUGUUCUUGUCAUAGGGCCGGCUGCCAUACAUAUGAGCAGCGCUGUUCACCAGCCAGGUGGCAUUCAGUACGACAGCAUACCGUAGGAGGGUGGCAACAAACAGGCUGUGAGUAAAACUUUCUCCCCAGAAGUACCAGGGGACGAAUGUGGGGAAUAUGAAGCGCAUGAGGAGGAUGCCAGGCUUGUAGUAUCUCCUCUGGAACAUCACCAGCUUCUCAGAUUUCAGAUCGGACAGGUCAAGCAAACGGCCCUUCUCAAUGACAUCUGGGUGUUUGCGCACUAGCAGCCAGCCCACAUGGGAGAAGAAAAACCCACGGCGGGCAUUAUGGGGAUCAGCAUCUGUCUCAGAGAACUUAUGAUGGACACGGUGGUCCCUGGCCCACUUGAAAAUGUCAUUCUGGAAGGCCAUGGUGUUAGCGAUCGUCAGAAUGAUCCGGAGGGGCAGGCGUGCCUUGUAGGUUCUGUGACUUCAGAGGCGGUGGGCUCCAGCAGUGAUGCCCAGGGCGCUGACCAGGUAGUACCCAAAUGCCCAGAGCAAGGUAUACACAUGAGAGGAAGGCAGCAGGAAGAUCCCAUACACGGCUGCCAAGUGAAGCAGGCCCAUCAGGAUGAUGUUCCUCCAGACAUAGAUGAACUUGGGUUUGGGACCAUCCUUCUCCUGAUAAGGGGGUCAAACAUGUCGUCCCGCAUCUCAUAGCUGAUCCCCUCUUCAUCCUUCUCAAGGGGUGCUUUUGACGCUCCUUUGGUUGCUCCGUUCUGCAGAGCCCUGGAGGAAGGGGCUGUGAUGGUGGUCGUGGUGGUCAUAGUGUAGGAGGGAGAGAUCUCCUCCUGUAGCAAAUGGGCCGGCAUCGGGAUUCUACGGGAGCAGGUCUCGCUCUUCUUGGACUGGAGCUGCCGAAGGAGAGGAGGCACUUGGACUCAGGAUUGGGCUUAUG